RNAcentral lists this ribosomal RNA (488 nucleotides) under Bacillus sp. HPC 1300. Its description in RNAcentral is "bacterial SSU rRNA". It matches the Rfam family "Bacterial small subunit ribosomal RNA", at positions 58 to 511 of the family's 1533-position model. The record is from RNAcentral. Lineage: Bacteria; Bacillati; Bacillota; Bacilli; Caryophanales; Bacillaceae.
CGGUAGUCGUACCGGUACCCGUAGAUUUUAACCUGUACCCGUAGAGUUUGACCUUGCCCUUCGGAGUUAGCGGCGGACGGGUGAGUUUCACGUGGGUAACCUGCCCAUAAGACUGGGAUACCUCCGGGAAACCGGGGCUAAUACCGGAUAACAUUUUGAACCGCAUGGUUCGAAAUUGAAAGGCGGCUUCCGCUGUCACUUAUGGAUGGACCCGCGUCGCAUUAGCUAGUUGGUGAGGUAACGGCUCACCAAGGCAACGAUGCGUACCGACCUGAGAGGGUGAUCGGCCACACUGGGACUGAAACACGGCCCAACUCCUACGGGAGGCAGCAUAGGGAAUCUUCCGCAAUGGACAAAUUCUGACGGAGGAACGCCCCUGAAUGAUGAAGGCUUUCGGGUCAAAAACUCUGUUGUUAGGAAAAAACAAGUGCUAUUGAAUAACCUGGCACCUUGACGGUACCUACCAGAAGCCGGUUAAUACGUGCCCC